GAUUUACAGGGAUAAGCAAGCAGAACGAAUGUGGCAGAGUGGCAAAUAGCACAUUAUAAUGUCUAAGAAAAUGUUAAAAUCACUUACAGACAAUGUAAGUCAACGAGUGACUACAUCAAGGACUCAUGUUAUGCAGUAACUUGGAGGAGGCUGUUUAUAUAUCAAUCAAAAUUUAAAUGGAGAGAGACAAGAGAAAACAAUUAAGAAGUGCAAAUGAAAGAGAUAUCAAAAUGAAAGCUUUAACUAAAACUAUACUGAUUGCUGCAUUAAAUGCUAGUUUUUUGGUAAGAGAUCUUGAUGUAAAUGUUAAUUAUUAAGCAAAAGUAAACAAAGAUUUGCCGUGUUUCAAAUUUGCAAUAGUAGAUGUACUGCAGCAUAUGGAAUUGUAGUCUUAUCUCUCAGGGCAAAAUCCUGAGGGAAGGGUAACCCUUCUUCUCAAUCCCUGCCCUACUUCAAACAUGUCUGAGAUAAAUCACUGCAUCUAAUUUUAGUUAAGGUCCACACAAAAUAAAGAAUGAUGUACUGUCAGAUGUUUACAAUAUUUAUAAAGCUAAUGUUAAAGAACUCAAAAUGUCUGUCUGAAGAUGAAUAUAUGCCAUAUUUUCUAAUGUUAGUAUUUGUAAAAUAAGAAAAAUUUGGUUACAGGUAUGAAAGAAAUGUAGUAGUUACAUAUCCCACACAACAAUAUUUACAUAAGCUCUUGGGCUUAUAAGACUAAUGUAUAUGUCUGAUUAUGACCACAAAGUACUUAGUUAUUUUCUAAAGAAUCAUACAGUGCAAAUAAAUGCUUUUUUAACAUGACGUCUAUGCUACAUUUCCUUUCAUAUAAAGUACUUGUGCGUUCACAGGGUAGUAGCAUGUCAGAGAACAGCAACUAGUUACACUUUUGUAUUUACAAUCACCCAUGCUUCAAGCACUCAUUACUAAAUUCAAUUAUCCAUGUAAAAGAAUUAUUCUCACAUUUUACACAAAUUUUUAUAUAAUUCAUAUAACAGAUGCUGUCUCUGACCAUGAACUGGAUAAAUAUGUACUUAUAUUUAUUUACUCUUAAUCAGAAAAAUGCAUCUGAACUCUGAAUGAAUACAUGAUCUGGUAAUAUUGAUUCACAAUAUGUGCACCCAAUACGUGGUCCUAAACCCUUCGAAGAUUAACAUUCUCUCCCAGAUGUGGUCGACUACACAGCCUGAAUGAUCAUACCAUGUCUGAGAUAUACAGGACUUGCUGCCAUUUAAAUGUAACUGCAAGGACAGGCCAUUUAUAGUCUUCAAGGGGUUAACAGCACUCUUUUCUGCAACACUAACAAUACUAAUUAAUUACCUGUAUACAUCAUCUUUGGUUUAAAUCUUAACCUACAAUGAAAAAUAAAACAAACACGCAUUAAAACUAACAGUAACACUUUGUAUCAAUAAAGAUAAAAGUAUUCUUGUCAUAUUGUGAAUCUAUAUGUCAUCAGUGAAUUGUUUCUGUACUUAUUGUCAUGAUCUUUGUGUGUCACACACAUAGCAUAAAGAUACAUCCAUGUAGCAAGUUGCACAGAUACAAUGACAAGUACAAAGCUUGACAACAGAACAAUUUUAAACUCUAAUAAUACUGCAAAGAAAAUAAAUACACGAGUUACUUUAGAACAAAAAAAAAAAAA
Molecule: non-coding RNA, 1639 nt
Organism: Zootermopsis nevadensis
Lineage: Eukaryota; Metazoa; Arthropoda; Insecta; Blattodea; Termopsidae
Source: RefSeq, a predicted model, not a curated record